GGGGGAUAUUGCACAAUGGGCGAAAGCCUGAUGCAGCAACGCCGCGUGAGGGAAGACGGUUUUCGGAUUGUAAACCUCUGUCUUCGGUGAAGAAAAAAAUGACGGUAGCCGAGGAGGAAGCCACGGCUAACUACGUGCCAGCAGCCGCGGUAAUACGUAGGUGGCGAGCGUUGUCCGGAAUUACUGGGUGUAAAGGGAGCGCAGGCGGGGAGACAAGUCAGCUGUGAAAACUAUGGGCUUAACCCAUAGACUGCAGUUGAAACUGUUUUUCUUGAGUGGAGUAGAGGUAGGCGGAAUUCCGAGUGUAGCGGUGAAAUGCGUAGAUAUUCGGAGGAACACCAGUGGCGAAGGCGGCCUACUGGGCUCUAACUGACGCUGAGGCUCGAAAGUGUGGGGAGCAAAC
RNAcentral lists this ribosomal RNA (403 nucleotides) under uncultured bacterium. Its description in RNAcentral is "bacterial SSU rRNA". It matches the Rfam family "Bacterial small subunit ribosomal RNA", at positions 356 to 773 of the family's 1533-position model. The record is from RNAcentral.